UCCUCAGAUUUCAGCCUCCUCAGUAGUUAGGAUUAUGGUGGCAUGAGCCACCAGCGCCCAGAAAAUCAUUGUCUUUUCAUUGGUGGUAUUUGAUGUAUUUCUGCCUCUUGUUUCUGGGUAAGUUACUUGAGCUCUCGAGUCUCAGAUUCAUAGGGUUAUUUGUAAGGUCCACUCCUGGAAGGGCUUCAUGCAGAUAUCCCCCACCUGCAGUUGUGCCAGUUACCUAGGUAACUCAGGUACUGGGUUCAGACUUAAA
Perognathus longimembris pacificus (Pacific pocket mouse) is the source of this 256-nucleotide long non-coding RNA. RefSeq lists it as uncharacterized. The transcript is spliced from 3 exons. NCBI's taxonomy places the organism in Eukaryota, Metazoa, Chordata, Mammalia, Rodentia, Heteromyidae. The record is from RefSeq and is a predicted model, not a curated record.